AGCUGCCCUCUUGCCGUGUUCAUGCUUUGGUAGAACACCUUCAGAGCCUUGGCAAGCUCUCGGUCAGAGCCGGCUUGCUCUGUGCACAUUUGGCUCAUCUCCCUGGCGGAUGGCAGUUGCGCAGUCAUCCCACUGAUCUUCAGAGUGUUGGAAGGCUUCUGGGCUGAGGUGGAAAAAGUUUCAUGCAGUAGGCCAGCGACUGGAGCCAGAUGUGAGCUGAGCCCAAGCGGACGACCUCGACAGGAUCCCAGAAAGGGUCAUCUUCUUGAGCCACAAAGCCGUUAUCUCCAUCUAGAAAGCACUGCUAAAGUUCCUGCAUUAGGAAUUUCCUAUUGAUGAACUUGGCUUUUGACCAUAUCCACACCUGGAAACACAGAGGAAAGCAGAGAGAGUGUGAAAUCACUGCUCUCAGAUCGGCACACGGGAAAGGCCAGCAGUCAGGAGGGGGCUCACCGAGUUUGUCUGCG
This 467-nucleotide long non-coding RNA is filed under the name Pongo abelii (Sumatran orangutan). RNAcentral describes it as "lincRNA". The record is from RNAcentral. Lineage: Eukaryota; Metazoa; Chordata; Mammalia; Primates; Hominidae.